This 400-nucleotide ribosomal RNA is filed under the name uncultured bacterium. Its description in RNAcentral is "bacterial SSU rRNA". It matches the Rfam family "Bacterial small subunit ribosomal RNA", at positions 355 to 771 of the family's 1533-position model. The record is from RNAcentral.
UAAGGAAUCUUGCGCAAUGGGCGAAAGCCUGACGCAGCAAUACCGCGUGGAGGAUGAAUGGCGUAAGCUUGUAAACUCCUUUUCUGAGGGAAUAAUUUUGAAGGUACCUCAGGAAUAAGCAACGGCUAACUACGUGCCAGCAGCCGCGGUGAGACGUAGGUUGCAAACGUUAUCCGGAAUUAUUGGGCGUAAAGAGUUCGUAGGUGGUUUGUUAAGUAGGAUGUCAAAGACCGAAGCCCAACUUCGGGAAGGCAUCCUAAACUGGCUCGCUAGAGGGAGGCAGAGGCAAGUGGAAUUCUGUGUGUAGGGGUAAUAUCCGUAGAUACACAGAGGAACUCCAAAAGUGAAGACAGCUUGCUGGGCCUUUCCUGACACUCAAGAACGAAAGCGUGGGGAGCAA